Molecule: ribosomal RNA, 253 nt
Filed under: uncultured bacterium
Lineage: Bacteria
Description: partial 16S ribosomal RNA
Rfam family: Bacterial small subunit ribosomal RNA
Source: RNAcentral
GACGUAGGUGGCGAACGUUAUCCGGAAUCAUUGGGCGUAAAGGGCGCGUAGGUGGCUUCUUAAGCGUGCGGUGAAAGCCUGGGGCUCAACCCCGGGUCGGCCGUGCGAACUGGGGGGCUGGAGCACUGUAGAGGCAGGCGGAAUUCCGGGUGUGGCGGUGGAAUGCGUAGAGAUCCGGAAGAACACCGGUGGCGAAGGCGGCCUGCUGGGCAGUUGCUGACACUGAGGCGCGACAGCGUGGGGAGCAAACAGG